CCCAGGAACUCCACAGACUCUGCGACGGCCGCUCCGUGAGUAGAGCUUUCGACCUGGG
Molecule: microRNA precursor, 58 nt
Filed under: Cordylochernes scorpioides
Lineage: Eukaryota; Metazoa; Arthropoda; Arachnida; Pseudoscorpiones; Chernetidae
Source: RNAcentral